This 630-nucleotide ribosomal RNA is filed under the name uncultured Methanosaeta sp. RNAcentral's name for it is "bacterial SSU rRNA". It matches the Rfam family "Archaeal small subunit ribosomal RNA", at positions 341 to 963 of the family's 1478-position model. Lineage: Archaea; Methanobacteriati; Methanobacteriota; Methanomicrobia; Methanotrichales; Methanotrichaceae. The record is from RNAcentral.
GAUCAAUCGUUUACACAAUCGCAGGGAAACCGCGAUAAGGUAACCCCGAGUGCCAGCAUCAAAGAAAUAGGCUGUCCAGAUGAUUAAAAAUCAUUUGUUAGCAAGGGCCGGGCAAGACCGGUGCCAGCCGCCGCGGUAGCACCGGCGGCCCGAGUGGUAGCCGUUUUAAUUGGGUCUAAAGGGUCCGUAGCCGGCUUGAUAAGUCCUUUGGGAAAUCUGGCAGCUUAACUGUCAGGUUCUAAGGGUUACUGUCAGGCUUGGAACCGGAAAAGGAAAGGGGUACUCCGGGGGUAGGGGGAAAAUUUUUUAUUUCCUGGGGGACCAUCUGUGGGGAAGGGGCUUUACCAAAACGGGUCCGACGGGGAGGGACGAAAGCUAGGGGAGCAAACCGGAUUAGAUACCCGGGUAGCCCUAGUUGUAAAGGAUGCUCGCUAGGUGUCAGACACGGGGCGACCGUGUUUGGUGCCGCAGGGAAGCCGUUAAGCGAGCCACUUGGGAGGUACGGUCGCAAGGCUGAAACUUAAGGGAAUUGGCGGGGGAAAGGGCGAAUUCGUUUAAACCUGCGGGAUUAGUCCCUUUAGUGAGGGUUAUUUCUGAGCUUGGCGUAUUCAGGGCAUAGCUGUUUCUGAA